This 270-nucleotide ribosomal RNA is filed under the name uncultured archaeon. RNAcentral's name for it is "partial 16S ribosomal RNA". It matches the Rfam family "Archaeal small subunit ribosomal RNA", at positions 477 to 747 of the family's 1478-position model. The record is from RNAcentral.
CUGCAGCCCGAGUGGUGGUCGAUAUUAUUGAGCCUAAAGCGUCCGUAGCCGGACUAGUAAAUUCUUGGGUAAAUCGGGCAGCUUAACUGUCCGACUUCCGAGGAGACUGCUAGUCUUGGGACUGGGAGAGGUCAGAGGUACUCCAGGGGUAGGGGCUAAAUCCUGUAAUCCUUGGGGGACCACCAGUGGCGAAGGCGUCUGACUAGAACGGAUCCGACGGUAAGGGACGAAACCCUGGGGCACAAACCGGAUUAGAUACCCGAGUAGUCC